RNAcentral lists this ribosomal RNA (467 nucleotides) under uncultured bacterium. Its description in RNAcentral is "partial 16S ribosomal RNA". It matches the Rfam family "Bacterial small subunit ribosomal RNA", at positions 29 to 506 of the family's 1533-position model. The record is from RNAcentral.
UACGAACGCUGGCGGCGUGCUUAACACAUGCAAGUCGAACGGAAAGGCCCUGCUUUUGUGGGGUGCUCGAGUGGCGAACGGGUGAGUAACACGUGAGUAACCUGCCCUUGACUUUGGGAUAACUUCAGGAAACUGGGGCUAAUACCGGAUAGGAGCUCCUGCUGCAUGGUGGGGGUUGGAAAGUUUCGGCGGUUGGGGAUGGACUCGCGGCUUAUCAGCUUGUUGGUGGGGUAGUGGCUUACCAAGGCUUUGACGGGUAGCCGGCCUGAGAGGGUGACCGGCCACAUUGGGACUGAGAUACGGCCCAGACUCCUACGGGAGGCAGCAGUGGGGAAUAUUGCACAAUGGGCGGAAGCCUGAUGCAGCAACGCCGCGUGCGGGAUGACGGCCUUCGGGUUGUAAACCGCUUUCGCCUGUGACGAAGCGUGAGUGACGGUAAUGGGUAAAGAAGCACCGGCGAACUACGU